Molecule: ribosomal RNA, 468 nt
Filed under: uncultured bacterium
Lineage: Bacteria
Description: partial 16S ribosomal RNA
Rfam family: Bacterial small subunit ribosomal RNA
Source: RNAcentral
GACGAACGCUGGCGGCGUGCUUAACACAUGCAAGUCGAACGGAAAGGGCGUGCGCUUGCGGGGUGCGCGAGAGGCGAACAGGUGUGAGACACGCGUGUAACCUGUCCUUGACUCUGGGGUAACUUCAGGAAACUGGGGCUAAUAUCGCAUAGGAGAUCCGGCUGCACGUCGUGGGCGGGAGAGUUUCGGCGGUUGGGGAUGGGCUCGCGGCUUAUCAGCUUGUUGGUGGGGUAUAGGCUUACCAAGGCUCUGACGGGUAGCCGGCCUGAGAGGGUGACCGGCCACAUUGGGACUGAGAUACGGCCCAGACUCCUACGGGAGGCAGCAGUGGGGAAUAUUGCACAAUGGGCGGAAGCCUGAUGCAGCAACGCCGCGUGCGGGAUGACGGCCUUCGGGUUGUAAACCGCUUUUGCCUGGGAAGAAGCGAGAGUGACGGUACUGGGAGAAAAAGCACCGGCUAACUACGUG